This is a long non-coding RNA of Dreissena polymorpha, 220 nucleotides long. RefSeq lists it as uncharacterized. The transcript has 2 exons. Lineage: Eukaryota; Metazoa; Mollusca; Bivalvia; Myida; Dreissenidae. The record is from RefSeq and is a predicted model, not a curated record.
GGAAAAGGUCAGUCAUAAUUUGGUUUGUGAUUGUUUAUGAAUUUGUUCAGAAGUUAUCUCACAAUGUGCCCAAGCCCAUUUUCAUUAAGAAUUCUUGUUCAGAAUUCAGUCUGCAUUAAGUAGAAUGGGUAUAUAUUUUACUUCUUCAUGUUCUUGCAAUAAGUAAUCUAAAGUAACGUUCCUAUUUCCCUCUUACAAAUAAUAGCUCAAUAUUAUAAUA